RNAcentral lists this ribosomal RNA (497 nucleotides) under uncultured bacterium. RNAcentral describes it as "partial 16S ribosomal RNA". It matches the Rfam family "Bacterial small subunit ribosomal RNA", at positions 28 to 507 of the family's 1533-position model. The record is from RNAcentral.
GAUGAACGCUGGCGGCGUGCCUAAUACAUGCAAGUCGAGCGAACGGACGAGAAGCUUGCUUCUCUGAUGUUAGCGGCGGACGGGUGAGUAACACGUGGAUAACCUACCUAUAAGACUGGGAUAACUUCGGGAAACCGGAGCUAAUACCGGAUAAUAUUUUGAACCGCAUGGUUCAAAAGUGAAAGACGGUCUUGCUGUCACUUAUAGAUGGAUCCGCGCCGCAUUAGCUAGUUGGUAAGGUAACGGCUUACCAAGGCAACGAUGCAUAGCCGACCUGAGAGGGUGAUCGGCCACACUGGAACUGAGACACGGUCCAGACUCCUACGGGAGGCAGCAGUAGGGAAUCUUCCGCAAUGGGCGAAAGCCUGACGGAGCAACGCCGCGUGAGUGAUGAAGGUCUUCGGAUCGUAAAACUCUGUUAUUAGGGAAGAACAUAUGUGUAAGUAACUGUGUACAUCUUGACGGUACCUAAUCAGAAAGCCACGGCUAACUACGUG